This 394-nucleotide ribosomal RNA is filed under the name uncultured bacterium. Its description in RNAcentral is "partial 16S ribosomal RNA". It matches the Rfam family "Bacterial small subunit ribosomal RNA", at positions 523 to 918 of the family's 1533-position model. The record is from RNAcentral.
AUACGUAGGGGACGAGCGUUGUCCGGAAUUACUGGGCGUAAAGGGCGCGCAGGCGGAUAUUUAAGUCAGCUGUAAAAGGCAUGAGCUCAACUCAUGUAUGCGGUUGAAACUGGGUAUCUAGAGUGCUGGAGAGGUAGGCGGAAUUCCCGGUGUAGCGGUGAAAUGCGUAGAUAUCGGGAAGAACACCAGUGGCGAAGGCGGCUUACUGGCCAGCAACUGACGCUGAGGCGCGAAAGCCAGGGGGGCGAACGGGAUUAGAUACCCCGGUAGUACUGGCCGUAAACGAUGAAUGCUAGGUGUGGGUGUCGAGAGGCAUCCGUGCCGGAGUUAACACAAUAAGUAUUCCGCCUGGGGAGUACGGCCGCAAGGUUGAAACUUAAAGGAAUUGACGGGG